RNAcentral lists this ribosomal RNA (828 nucleotides) under Trichoderma sp. 6 BRO-2013. RNAcentral's name for it is "eukaryotic LSU rRNA". The stretch from base 304 to 457 matches the Rfam family "5.8S ribosomal RNA". Lineage: Eukaryota; Fungi; Ascomycota; Sordariomycetes; Hypocreales; Hypocreaceae. The record is from RNAcentral.
ACUACCACUCAGGGCCGGAAAGCUCUCCAAACUCGGUCAUUUAGAGGAAGUAAAAGUCGUAACAAGGUCUCCGUUGGUGAACCAGCGGAGGGAUCAUUACCGAGUUUACAACUCCCAAACCCAAUGUGAACGUUACCAAACUGUUGCCUCGGCGGGAUCUCUGCCCCGGGUGCGUCGCAGCCCCGGACCAAGGCGCCCGCCGGAGGACCAACCUAAAACUCUUAUUGUAUACCCCCUCGCGGGUUUUUUUUUAUAAUCUGAGCCUUCUCGGCGCCUCUCGUAGGCGUUUCGAAAAUGAAUCAAAACUUUCAACAACGGAUCUCUUGGUUCUGGCAUCGAUGAAGAACGCAGCGAAAUGCGAUAAGUAAUGUGAAUUGCAGAAUUCAGUGAAUCAUCGAAUCUUUGAACGCACAUUGCGCCCGCCAGUAUUCUGGCGGGCAUGCCUGUCCGAGCGUCAUUUCAACCCUCGAACCCCUCCGGGGGGUCGGCGUUGGGGAUCGGCCCUCCCUUAGCGGGUGGCCGUCUCCGAAAUACAGUGGCGGUCUCGCCGCAGCCUCUCCUGCGCAGUAGUUUGCACACUCGCAUCGGGAGCGCGGCGCGUCCACAGCCGUUAAACACCCAACUUCUGAAAUGUUGACCUCGGAUCAGGUAGGAAUACCCGCUGAACUUAAGCAUAUCAAUAAGCGGAGGAAAAGAAACCAACAGGGAUUGCCCCAGUAACGGCGAGUGAAGCGGCAACAGCUCAAAUUUGAAAUCUGGUCCCUAGGGCCCGAGUUGUAAUUUGUAGAGGAUGCUUUUGGUGAGGUGCCGCCCGAGUUCCMUGGAACG